Triticum aestivum (bread wheat) is the source of this 135-nucleotide non-coding RNA. Lineage: Eukaryota; Viridiplantae; Streptophyta; Magnoliopsida; Poales; Poaceae. The record is from Rfam.
CAUCUAUUCUCUCCGUCCCAAAAUUCUUGUCUUAAUUUUGUCUAAAUACGGAUGUAUCAAGUCAUGUUUUAGUAUUAGAUACAUCCGUAUCUAGAUGAAUCUAAGACAAGAAUUUUGGGACGUAGGGAGUAAAAC